CAAGGAGAAUGAGUUCAGAGAAGCUGGUAGCGUGGCUGAGGGACAGGCUUUUCUGCCAAAGGACCCUGCAGUAAGAAAGGGUCUGGACAUCAGCAAGAACGUAUCGGGUGAGAGCCAUGCUUGGGGGAGAAUGAGAGAUCUUAUGAGGAAGACACGGCUGAGAAACCAGAACAAACUGGGACUGUCCUCCGCUGCUCUGAAGAGGUCCUGCCCACAGUUGUACAGGCCAGAUAUUAUGUCUUCAGAACUGAGGAAAACUGAGAGGAACUCCAUGAUCGUUCUGGGGCAAAAUACAAAGAAUGAAAACAUAUGGCCUUUCUGAUAACCCAAGUCAAAUGGAACAAGAAAGGCAAAGCGGGAACAAAUGGACACAAACCCAAGAACCCCGGGGUUACUUUGCACAACCUGCAUCCUACAGUUGUCAACAGAGCAGCUCCAAUUUGA
Long non-coding RNA from Egretta garzetta (little egret), 444 nucleotides. RefSeq lists it as uncharacterized. The record is from RefSeq and is a predicted model, not a curated record. Lineage: Eukaryota; Metazoa; Chordata; Aves; Pelecaniformes; Ardeidae. The transcript has 5 exons.